This is a long non-coding RNA of Meriones unguiculatus (Mongolian gerbil), 3412 nucleotides long. RefSeq lists it as uncharacterized. The record is from RefSeq and is a predicted model, not a curated record. The transcript is spliced from 3 exons. Lineage: Eukaryota; Metazoa; Chordata; Mammalia; Rodentia; Muridae.
GUUUGAGAUUCACAGCCAAAUUAACAUUUCCACAGCUCUGUUUGCUCCUCACUGGGCUCUGCCCUUCCUCCUGAAGCAGCUGGCUGGCUUUCCCAGCUGUACUCUCUGCCGGCAGACCCAUGCUUCAGAUACCAACUCACCACCCCCCAGCUAAAACAGGCUUCCCUUAGACUUCUAUGACAACAGGAUGGCUGUCAAGACCAAGGUCCCUGGAGGGAGAGGAGGCAGAAAAGAAUAGUCUACCUCUUCUCUGUGGAACAGCCUGCUCAGAGAGAACAUAGGCCUCAUUUGGCCAGAAAACAUCAAGCUGGACUCUGAGCACUGAGGUGGUGGGCUUGAGGUAUUCAUCAGCGCCAACACUGGCAGCCUGGUGAGGAGAAAGGCUUCGAGGUGCCACUUCCGCCCAAACUAGCCACAACAACUAGAGAGUGAAGGCUCUGCCACUCAUCAGCCCCGAGUAAGGCUGCUCAUGGGAGAAUGUGCACACUCCCUCAGCGUCCCCCCGGAUACUGAGACCUGUGGGACACUCGGGCCUAGCCUCUGGACCAGAGAGGUGAGACUUGGUCAAACCACAGGGAAGCUUGGCCUAAAAUUUGGCCUCUUGGACACGCCUUUGGCUGCGUCAGUCUCAGAGUUAAGUGACGGCUGUUCUUGACUGUCUGGGUCGGUAACAAUUUGCAGUGAGGACCUAUUCCACAAACUCGGAGAGACUGGAGAUGGGCUAUUAGCCCCAGCCCCUUUCAUGUGAAAUUACUUCUACUGGCAGUAAUAUGCCAUCAUUUGAAAGCCUUAACCCAAAUGGACGGCGCCCGGCCCAAGCCAGAGCCUGGACCCAGGCAGCGGGUCCAUGUGCUAACUAUUACAGGGUUGUUUGGGCCGUCCCCAGCCGGCAUUUGCUGCUGCACGCUGAGAACUGCUGUCAGGAAAUGUUCUUUUCUAAAUUACAUAAUUAGGGUGUUGGGGAGUGUAGUGAAGGCAGAUUAGGGGCAUCACUUGUUCUCGGUGCAAGCAACGAUUCCAAGCACAUAAGUAAACACUUAAGCUAUGUGAAUGGUUUAAUAUUGAUUAAACAAUGAUCUCCAGGUCUAAACUCUAAGCAUGGUAGGUAGAAGGCGCUGGAAGGAGAAAAAACAAAGAGUGGACUUAAUAGUGUGCAUUGAUUUACAGAGCUGCGUGGACUUUGACCUGACAGAUCAAAAUCAGGAUUUGCAAUGAUUACCUGAAAUAAAGUCCAGGGUCCCACCCCCUUGGGCUCACAGUGGGGCUGGGGUCAGGUGGGGUCAAGUUCUUCUCUCAGCAAAACCAGCUUCUCACCCACACCCACUUCCAGAAACCCGGACCCAAGCAACGUGCUAGCUCAAAUUGCGUUUCAUUUAUUGUUUCUAACUAUGGGCCACAGACUUCAACUUGAUUAGAAAAUUGUGCUGACGCUUCCUGGGAAGUAGAUUCCGAGCCUUCCAGCGGAGAUGAAGGAGGGGAUUUUCCACACACACCCGUCUCUUCCAAAGCGCCUUCCCGACUUUGGCAGUGCCUGUGCCCAAGCAGGAGCUCAGUGUGAGGAGCAACUGUGACCAACAGGCAGGCUUCCCGCUGGGAGGCUUGGAGAACAGACAGCGGUCCCUAGCUUAGUCCUGGGGACCUGCCCUGGUCAGUCCUGGGGUUGUAGGGUAGGCAGCGGGGGCAACGGCUAACCUCUGCUGAAUUCAGAUUUGCCAGCCAGCUCAACCACUUCCUCCUGGCCCAGCCUUUGGGCCUUCUCUCUGUGUCCAUCAGCAGAAGACAGAGUGGAAAAGAGGCUGAGGAGCACAAUAUUAAAAACUAGGGGCCCGCUUCCUCUGUGCCAAAUGUCUUCUACUUGUCACACUAAAGCAUCACGGGCAAUCCUGUAUGGUAGGCAUCGUUCUGUUUUGUCCCUGUGAUUGGAUAACAAAACUAGUUCUCAACAAGAAUAAGUUGCCAGAAUUUGCCACAGCAAAUUUCAUUAAUUUUGCUAAUUUAAAAAAUAAUCAUAUAGCUUUUCACUUAUGCUAGGCAAUAUACUAAAAUUUUGAAGUAUUAGCUGUAAAAUUUAAUGCAUCUUUCAUUAACUGUUGUGAUGAUUUUUUUUUUUUUAUCUUGAAAUGAAUCAUCUGAGUCACGGACGGGCUAAGUCAUGGGCUCCGGGUCACACAGACUGUCACUAAGCCAGGAUUCUAACGUUGGCCCUCUCGCUUCAGAGUCUACACUCCCAAUCCAUCCACAGAGCUGAAGACAGUCCUUAACAAAAGAAGGGCACAGACCCCUCAUGCCAUCUGCUAUGAGCCUCCGUGACAGGGCACACCAGUGUACUGAGGGUACUCUGGGGUGAUGUAUGGUCUCACACCUGGAACCUGAUGUGGCUGCAGCCCAGGGACCUGCCCAGGGACCCACCCCACCAUGGUCUCAUAUUCCAUUCAGGGAGUACUCAGAGCGUAAGUAAGUCUACGAAGGAGCUCAGGAGCCUGUGAACACAGCAGCCACUCUUCCCUAGCACCCCACCCUCACCCCCGCCCUCCUCCAGCUACUUCCCCCUGGAGCCAGACCUGGGUGGUAUGUGCUGGAAAAUCCCUCUUAGCCCUUCCUCCGAACGCCUGCUCAGGCGCCAUGCCCACAUGCCAUCAACGCAUGUGGCAUGUGCCCAUCUCUGCUGACACCCUGGAAACUCACCAAGGCAGGACUCACAAGUGGCGCUGAGUGUGAAAAGUCUGUAAAGAUAAAUGUCUUCUCAUUUGUGGGUUCAAAAUACGUCCAAUAAAAAUGAGUACGUGCCUCCACACACUAAACGCACUGUCGUAAAAAGUUGCUGUGUUUGCUAUGUGUACAAAACCCGCUAGGGCCAUGGUGGACUGAGCCAUCCAGACCAUCAGAGCCCAGCCUAGGACAAAGCCUUCAGACCCUGUACUCAGGGCAGAGCCAGCAGCUGGCCCUGUGACUUUUGAGGACCUCCAUGCUACUCUCCGUGUUCCCCGUGGCUCACAGAUUUCGUAUUUGCAGACUUGCAUGCCCACUGAACAGCAUGCGUAAUCCUCGAAUCCACACUGAUACUGCAUUCCUGAGCAUCUGGAGACAUGAGUGAGGAGAGAAAACCUUGAGAGGUCGGGGAGGGCAACUGAGCACAAACACAGCGAUUGCUAAGUCAGGUGGAAGUAGAUGAAUUGAGUUACAGUCUCAAGAAGGACAGCAGCAUGCAGGGGCUGGACAGACAGUCAGCAGCUGCAAUCGCAUACUGCUCUCACAGAGGACGCUAGCACCCAUAUCAGACAGGUCACAGCCGCCUGGAACUCCAGCUCUGGGGGAUCCAUCACCCUCUUCUGGACUCUGUGGGAACCUACAGGCCUACGUGUAUUUCAUACAAAGAUACACAUAUAUGUUCAUAAUAAAAAAUUUUUUUGAG